CAAGGACAGAUGGGUGUAUUUUUUAUGAGGGCGUAGCAGAGGAAAAAUGUUACUAAAUGAGCAGGACCCGUCACUGCCGGAUAUGAAGGCAACAUGAGGGAUCUUGAAAGACAUCAGCAGGGAAGAACCAUCAUGUACAAUGCACAUAACGAGGCUCAUUACUUCCUGCUUACAACCUGGUGCUACCGCUUACUACUGUCUGUAAUGCACUUACAGUAGUUCGUUCUGGAGCUGUUGCAUGGGCUGACGGUGAAACGGGUAUGCCAGGGUAUCGCCUGAUCCAGGACACGGCCGGACUACAGGCCUUAACUCCUCUCGCAACUAAAGUCCAAUUGGAGGGAUGGUGGACAGGGAGCCAGUCCAGGAGCAUGUACAGCACUUGCAAAACAUUCGGCCACCGCCCGCAGAUGAUCCGGCGCACACUGUGUCUUGGUGCCUGUGGUCAGGGGUUGGGAGCAGGCUCCAGCUCCUCAGGGAUGCAGUGCUGAGACUGUCUGGUGGUCGACUAGACCGGAUAGAGUAUUUUAUACGUAUGAAACGGCCAUCCAUUUCCUAACCCUUGUGAAACUAUUUCAACACUGUGAUAAAACUGCCAUUUUGCAUUUUCUAAAACUGCCUCAUCUGGUGAUCUGGCCAGGCUUUAAAGGUUGAGAUCCUUCCCCUCAAGAAACAGAAGGUGGCGUAGUCUAGUCUACUCAGACGGCCCAAUUCUGCUAUUUC
Molecule: long non-coding RNA, 720 nt
Filed under: Salmo salar (Atlantic salmon)
Lineage: Eukaryota; Metazoa; Chordata; Actinopteri; Salmoniformes; Salmonidae
Description: lncRNA (ENSSSAG00000099902.1, ENSSSAG00020075426.1, ENSSSAG00075018075.1)
Source: RNAcentral